GUAACAGUUGUCAAAAGAAAUUACCGCGGUUGUUUCCCUUGGCAUUUUAAAUUUGCAGUGAAGAUCCAGGCGGGAGAUAGCUGUAUUGAAUUAUUUCGAAAUUAUCAAGGUAAAAACACUCUGCCCUGAACAUUUUCCAGGUUAGGAAUCAGUUUUAAUUGUUUAUCCACAAGAUUUGACAAUGUUUGUUAAAGCUUUUUUCCGAAAUUGUUAUCUGUCAUUAAAUGUCACAUGUUUUCGCGACUUUCCAAUGUUUGUUGUAUUUCAUUGCAUGUCAAAUGUGGUCGCCAGGCAGAAUAACAGGCAUGGAAAGAAACGAAAGGCAGCUGUUGGAGAACUUCGAUUGUCUGUUGCUGUGCACAAAGCUGUCAUGGGUUCCUUGAAAUGCUGCAGAAGUUGAAAUUGAGUGCAGGGAAUGGUUUCAAACAGCCUCUGAUCAUGACGGUGGCAAAAAAGCAAGGGCGGACAAGAAACAUGAUGAAGCAUCGCAAUUUAUUAUAACUCGUUUGUUUAAACUGUGAAUUAAGUCUUCUACUGGAAUCAUUUAUUAUGUAAAGGUCUCUUUGAACUUGUAAUUACUUAUUUUACACAACUUUUAUGCAUAAUGAUGGAAGCAAUGUUUUUAUUAUUAUUAUUAUUUUUAGCCUUUAUUACAUAAAUAGCUUAAAUUGUGUAUGUGUUACUUUUCAAUAUAUUCGUGUUAUAAUCAUUUUAAUUUGUCUUUUUCUUAAAAGAAAACUCAGUCGCUUUGUCAUUAAACAGUUUGUUUAAAAAUGUUAAUUUUUUAGUUGCUGUACCAGUAGAAUUAUAUAGACUUUUUACAUAAUUUGUUUUACAUUUGUUAGUUUUGGUAUAUAUAAAUAUGUUUUACACCAUUAGAAUAAAAAUGUUGGAAUAAGUAAUACAUAAGUAUAUUGUUUUACAUUAUCAGUUAAGUUAGUAGUAUUAUUAAGAAAUACUUUAAUUGUUCCAGUUUGGUUGAAUAGAAUAUUAAAAUAAAACUUUGUUUAAAGGAAAUUUUUCUUUCAUUUAUUUAAGGAACUGGUUAAAUGGUAGGCCCUUAACAAUACCAACAACAAUUACAAAUAAUUGAGGCCAGACAGGGACUGGGGAAUGGUUAAAUGUACCAAUACUAUUGUUGUUGUUUUUUUUGUUGCUGGAUAGAAAUUUGCUGAAUUUAAUUGUUACAAUUUUGUGUGUAUUGUAUGACUACUAUGUUGAAUUUUGCUGACUAGUCUUGUUACUAUUUUUUGUGUAUCGUAUGACUUCAUUAUUGUAUUUUGCUGACUAUAGUCUUACUUGUUACAAUUUUUUGUGUAUCGUAUGACUACUAUGUUGUUUAUGCUGACUAGUCUUACUUGUACUUCUUUUUGUGUAUCGUAUGACUUCAUUGUUGUAUUUUGCUGACUAGUCUUACUUGUGUCUAAUUUUUGUGUAUUGUAUGACUACUAUGUUGAAUUUUGCUGACUAGUCUUACUUGUUACUAUUUAUUGUGUAUCCUAUGACUACUAUGUUGUAUUUUGCUGACUAGUCUUACUUGUUACAAUUUUGUGUGUAUCAUAUGACUACUAUGUUGUAUUUUGCUGACUAGUCUUACUUUUUACUAUUUUUUGUGUAUCGUAUGACUACUAUGUUGUAUUUUGCUUACUAGUCUUACUUGUUACUAUUUUUUGUGUAUCGUAUGACUAUAUACUAUACUGUUGUAUUUUGCUGACUAGUCUUAAUUGUCCCCUACCGGGAAACCAAAGGGGACUUAUCGUUUGCACUACGUCUGUCUUUCUGUCAGUUCGUCACACUUGUCUGGAUCCUGCGAUAACUUUUAGAAGUUCUUCAUAUUUUUUCAUGAAACUUGAAACAGGGAUAGAUGGCAAUAUGGAGAUUAUGCACUUUAUUUCCUUUUGUUCCUACGUCAAAAAUUCUUGUUGCUAUGACAACAAAUUAAAAAAAUU
Long non-coding RNA from Dreissena polymorpha, 1949 nucleotides. RefSeq lists it as uncharacterized. NCBI's taxonomy places the organism in Eukaryota, Metazoa, Mollusca, Bivalvia, Myida, Dreissenidae. The transcript is spliced from 2 exons. The record is from RefSeq and is a predicted model, not a curated record.